RNAcentral lists this long non-coding RNA (428 nucleotides) under Cucumis sativus (cucumber). RNAcentral's name for it is "long non-coding RNA (CSAT_LNC001516)". Lineage: Eukaryota; Viridiplantae; Streptophyta; Magnoliopsida; Cucurbitales; Cucurbitaceae. The record is from RNAcentral.
CCAAUUUCUUUUCCCUCUCUUUUCCGUUCCGUCCAAACCCAGCCGGCCACACAAGCUGCCGGUCGUCCCUUUCUUCUUCCUUCCGGUCGUCCUUCUUUUCUUCUUCGGAUCUAAACAGUCGCCGCCCAUUCUUUUCCUCUCUUUUUCUUCAGUUCGCCACAACCCAGCUGCCAACCAUCUCCCUUCUCCUUCAUUUUUUUUUAUUUUCUGACGCCACCCACACCCUCUGCUCCGAUCUACCUCCAUUAUGCAAUGUACUACCGUCACGCGACUCCCCACCUCCCAACCGCGAAGUGUAAACAGCUUUGCCUCGAUCUGUUUGGCACAAUUUCUGCCUUUAGGUUCAAUCCCUACUGUUUUUCUUGUUUUUACUGUGGAUGGUUGAAGUUGUUGAUGGAAAUUGAAGUUCGAUUGUGAUUGUUUCAAAG